AUGGGCCUAAUAGGCUAACAUAAUCAUUUAUAAACUCAAACAUAGGCCGACAGGGCCGUACAAUCUUUCACAUAUACGACAUAUAUCUACAAGAGUCUAAGAGUACAUAUGUAUCACAAAGGUCGGGAGAGAGAGUCCCACCAAACAAAAAAGAAAACGUCUAAAUCAUACUAAUCAAAUACGCAACUCAGAAGCAAAUUGAGCGCACCAACAUCUUUCACUAAGCUGAUAGCCUACUUGAAGGGCACUCGACCUGUCUAUCAGGACCUGCGGCCAUGAAACGAAACUUCCCCAGGCAAAAGGGGCGUCAGUACGAAUAAUGUACCGAGUAUGUAAGGCAUGAAAAUAAGUACAUAAGAGACAUGGAAGAAAUAUAGAGUACAUGACUCAACCUGUAAGUCUGAAUAACUUUGUAAAUCAUAAAUUACUUUUAGCCACAUGCAUAUGUAUAUGAAUGUCAUGUCAUGCAUAAGUACAUGUUUCAUAACAUCAUCAGCCUUUGAGGGCAUCCCAUCAUAUCAUAUAGGCCACUAUGGGCAAAAUCAUCAUCGUAUACUAGCUGAUUAGGUGGUGGUGCGUAUAUAACGCCAUAACCUUUUCCAUAUCCCAUAUACAUAUAUAUAUAUAUACAUAUCAUAUAUAUAUAUAUACAUAUAUAUAUAUAUACAUAUAUAUAUAUAUAUAUAUACACACACAUAUAUAUAUAUAUAUAUACGCGUAUAUAACGCCAUAACAUCAUCACGCCUCUAAGGGCAUCCCACCAUAUCAUCUCAGCCACUGUGGGCAAAAUCAUCAUCGUAUACCAACUGAUCAAGUGGUGGUGCGUAUAUACCGUCGUAACCUUUUCCCAUAUCCCAUAUACAUAUAUACGCGUAUAUAACACUGUCUAAGUCAUAUUUCAGCCACUGUGGACAACAUCAUCAUUGUAUACCCGCUGAUCAGGUGGUGGUGCGCAUAUAACGACAUAACCUCAUCCCAUAUCCCAUAUACAUAUAUAAUAUACAUACAUAUAUACAUGUAUAUAACACCGUUUAUAUCAUAUUUCAGCUACUGUGGGCAACAUCAUCAUCAUAUACCAGCUAAUCAAGCGGUAGUGCGUAUACAAUGCCAUAGCCAUUCCUAUAUCCCAUAUACACUCAUAUAUAUAUACACACACAUGUAUAUAACACCAUCUGGUCAUGGGUCAAUGCACAUGAAUGCAAUCAUACAUAUAGAUGCAUAUAUAAAGCCAUUUGAAUACAUCAUAUAUAUGCGUAUAUAACGCCAUUUGAAUACAUACCCAUAUAUGCGUAUAUAAUGCCGUUUGAAUCAUAUUUCAGCCACUGUGGGCAACAUCAUCAUCAUAUACGAGCUGAUCAGGUGGUGGUGCGUAUAUAUAUAUAUAUAUACACGUAUAUAAUGCCGUCUGAGUCAUGGGUCAAUGUACAUGUAUAAAUUCAUGAAAUGCAUACUAAAUACGAUAACAAAAUCUCUCAGUACGUCACAAGACCAUUAUACCUCUGAUUAAAAUCCUUUUACGUAUUUUCUGAGACCCAUGAACAAACUAUGGCUUAAUAAGACAUAUGAAAAUUCAAGAACAUAGGCACUUCUAAUACUUGUAUGAAUGAGUUAUAUAUGGAAUUUGUGCAUUUGCAUAUUUCGUUCGUAUUGUAUGGAUCUUGCCAAAAGAAAGAAGGGAUAGCCUUAACAUACCUGGAGUAGGAAAAACUCUGCAUAAUAUUCUUGGCGAUACACCAUAUUCUUUUAGAAACACAAAAUUCGGACGAAAUUAAGCUUCUGUUCGUUGAUGUAUUUGAACAUGUGAACAUCUGUUCUUAGUGUUACAUUAUUUGAACCAAGAAAGAACAUUCUCUUGCUUUAGAAUUUUGUUGAUCAUUUCCUUAAGGUUUUG
Molecule: long non-coding RNA, 1891 nt
Filed under: Nicotiana benthamiana
Lineage: Eukaryota; Viridiplantae; Streptophyta; Magnoliopsida; Solanales; Solanaceae
Description: long non-coding RNA (NBEN_LNC006061)
Source: RNAcentral